This 1711-nucleotide long non-coding RNA is filed under the name Gallus gallus (chicken). Its description in RNAcentral is "long non-coding RNA NONGGAT005329". The record is from RNAcentral. Lineage: Eukaryota; Metazoa; Chordata; Aves; Galliformes; Phasianidae.
UUGCAUCGCAACUUUUUAAAAUAUAACACGUAUACUUUACGUAUAGGCUACGUGGAGGCUCCUCGGCCGCUCCUAUAUAUCCUUACGCCGGGCUCGGCCCCCCUCUCCUCCAGCGUCGGCUCCGGCCGUGGGGCCGCAGCGAAGACCCGCGUCCGCUCCGGGGGAUGCAGAGCCACCUCCGCUCCUCCUUUGCUGCGGCGCUGGGGAUGCCGUUGACUCCACCAGGUAUGUGCAAAGUCCCACCCUGUCACCAUCCCUCCCAAAUGUCAAUUUACACUCCAUCUGUGCUCUCCUAAGGAAGCAUCUAAAGCAUCUUCCUAAGGAAGUUUGCUUCCUCAGCACCGUGAUAUGAUAAUGAUGCUGCAGUCUCAGUCAUUGGCAAUAAAGCGGCUGUUGGCGCCGGGGCGGCUGCACCCACCAACCUCUCACCACGUGUGCAUUCAAUUCAUUAAAAAAUCAAUAUUGGAAAUCAUGGUAAGAACGAAAACCCCCCAUUUCCAGCUUUCUGGAAUAGCGUCUAUACUUGGAAAUAGAAAGCAACUGGAGGUGCACUCAGCAGCAGAGCAUGGCUGGUAGAUUCCCAGCUAGAGGACAGGGGGUAAAUACAGAAGCACACAUUUUUAUUCCUCUCUCAUCCUCAUUUUGGUAAGGGGGGGUUCACUACUCUCUUCCUUUAUAUUUUGACACUCGAGGCUUGCAGAAAUGCUCAACAUUAUAGCUUGCAAAGCGGCCUGGGAUCAGGUGAAAGACAUAUAGAGAGCACGCAUUCCAACGCAUGGAAACACGAUACUAUCAAUGCUAAUCAAUAAAAGCCUAACCCUAACCCUUACGAAUGACUUAGCCAUAUGCUGUGCAUGCACCUUGGCCCCCUGCAGCAGGCACGGGGCUCUGCCCUGGGGUUGUUGCUUCGAGCCCAGCGUGGCCUUGGUGUGCUUGGAGCAUCCCAGGCGCAUUGCAGCGCUGCUGCAUCGCGGCCGCUGUUUCCCAUGCGCUCCGUCCCUCCCAGGUGAUAACACCACGAGAAACAGUGUCACUUUUUCUUUUAUUUACUGCUUUAUUCCCCUGAUAACAAAAAAAAAAAGAAAAAAAAAGAAAAAGAGAAGGCUGGGAUUUCAGUGAUGUUAUUUUUUUUGGCUGGGGGUGAUGGGAUGGUGGCUCUGCGCCCUCCUGGAUGCCAAUGGCCAAACCUUUGGAGGGUGCCAUCACCCUUUGCCCAUGCACCACGGUGACGUAUUUCACGUCUGUUUGAUGGGUUUCUUUCCCCUCCCUUCCCUUUUUUUUUCCCCUUUUUUUUUUUUUUUCCCUCCCUCCAUUUCUGCAUUUCAGCCUUUGUCUCAUCUCCCACCGGCGCCUAACGAAGGGGCAGCCACUCCCACGCCAAUGGGGUUUUUGUUGUUCUUGUUUUCCCGGUGCUUUGUUCCCCUUUCCACCCUCUCUGUGGCCCUCAUCCUACGCUUAUGGGGAUCCCAGUAAGGGCACGGGGCUGGGGUGCCUGGGGAGGGAUGGAGAAGCACAAAGCCCAGGCACGACCAGGGCUCUUGUUGUCAUGGUUGUGAGCGAAAGAGUUAACCCAUUAGCAAUUCUGAGCCCUUCUUCCGAUAGUUAAACCUGAUUUGCAUGCAUUUGCAUAAUGAAUGUCAUUUGCAUUCCUGGAGGUUGGCUACUUCUGUGGGAAAAGUCAAAGCGGGAUUGCAGGGAGGGCGAAAAAGGG